RNAcentral lists this ribosomal RNA (259 nucleotides) under uncultured bacterium. RNAcentral describes it as "partial 16S ribosomal RNA". It matches the Rfam family "Bacterial small subunit ribosomal RNA", at positions 793 to 1055 of the family's 1533-position model. The record is from RNAcentral.
GUCCACGCCCUAAACGAUGAUUACUGGACAUUUGCGAUAUACAGUGAGUGUCUGAGCGAAAGCAUUAAGUAAUCCACCUGGGAAGUACGUCCGCAAGGAUGAAACUCAAAGGAAUUGACGGGGGUCGCACAAGCGGUGGAGUAUGUGGUUUAAUUCGAUGAUACGCGAGGAACCUUACCUGGGCUAGAAUGCGCGUGACCGGUUCUGAAAGGAACUUUCUUAGCAAUAGACACAAAGCAAGGUGCUGCAUGGCUGUCGU